CGUAGGGUGCAAGCAUUAUCCGGAAUUAUUGGGCGUAAAGAGUUUGUAGGCGGCGAAUUAAGUAGGAGGUGAAAUCUUCGGGCCCAACCCGAAACCCGUCUCCUAAACUGGUUUGCUAGAGGUAUGUAGAGGUAAGUGGAAUUUCCGGUGUAGGGGUAAAAUCCGUUGAGAUCGGAAGGAACGCCAAAAGCGAAGGCAGCUUACUGGACAUACCUGACGCUGAGAAACGAAAGCGUGGGGAGCAAACAGGAUUAGAUACCCUGGUAGUCCACGCCGUAAACGAUGAACACUCGGUGUUGAUGGAUCGAUCCCAUCAGUGCCUUAGCUAACGCGUUAAGUGUUCCGCCUGGGGAGUACGGUCGCAAGAUUA
This 370-nucleotide ribosomal RNA is filed under the name uncultured organism. Its description in RNAcentral is "bacterial SSU rRNA". It matches the Rfam family "Bacterial small subunit ribosomal RNA", at positions 526 to 896 of the family's 1533-position model. The record is from RNAcentral.